RNAcentral lists this RNase P RNA (376 nucleotides) under Deltaproteobacteria bacterium RBG_19FT_COMBO_56_10. RNAcentral describes it as "RNase P RNA component class A". It matches the Rfam family "Bacterial RNase P class A". From Rfam's summary of the family: Ribonuclease P (RNase P) is a ubiquitous endoribonuclease, found in archaea, bacteria and eukarya as well as chloroplasts and mitochondria. The record is from RNAcentral. Lineage: Bacteria; Deltaproteobacteria.
GGAGGCUGCCGGGCGGCCGCUGGCUUAGGUCAGAGGAAAGUCCGGACACCACAGGGCAGGGAGGUCGCUAACGGCGACCGGGGGCGACCCCAGGGACAGGGCCACAGAGAAGGAGACCGCCCCGCGCAAGCGGGGUAAGGGUGAAAAGGCGGGGUAAGAGCCCGCCAGACUGCCGGGUGACCGGCAGUGCUUGGUAACCCCCUCCCGGUGCAAGGCCAAAUAGGUUCCGCAUCAAGGAUUGCCCGUCCUUGUUCCCUUCGGGGAUGGCGGAACGGGUUGGCUGCUCGAGCCUGCCGGCAACGGCAGGCCUAGACGAAUGGCCGCCGCCCGGAAUUUUUUCCGGGAACAGGAUCCGGCUUAAAGGCAGCCUCCGGUU